AGAGCGAACGCUGGCGGCAGGCUUAACACAUGCAAAGUCGAGCGGAUGUAGCAAUACAUCAGCGGCAGACGGGUGAGUAACGCGUGGGAACAUACCUUUUGGUUCGGAACAACCCAGGGAAACUUGGGCUAAUACCGGAUAAGCCCUUACGGGGAAAGAUUUAUCGCCGAAAGAUUGGCCCGCGUCUGAUUAGCUAGUUGGUGAGGUAACGGCUCACCAAGGCGACGAUCAGUAGCUGGUCUGAGAGGAUGAUCAGCCACAUUGAGACUGAGACACGGCCCAAACUCCUACGGGAGGCAGCAGUGGGGAAUAUUGGGCAAUGGGCGCAAGCCUGAUCCAGCCAUGCCGCGUGAGUGAUGAAGGCCCUAGGGUUGUAAACGCUCUUUUUGUGCGGGAAGAUAAUGACGGUACCGCAAGAAUAAGCCCCGGCUAACUUCGUG
RNAcentral lists this ribosomal RNA (440 nucleotides) under uncultured Bradyrhizobium sp. RNAcentral describes it as "bacterial SSU rRNA". It matches the Rfam family "Bacterial small subunit ribosomal RNA", at positions 26 to 507 of the family's 1533-position model. Lineage: Bacteria; Pseudomonadati; Pseudomonadota; Alphaproteobacteria; Hyphomicrobiales; Nitrobacteraceae. The record is from RNAcentral.